This 253-nucleotide ribosomal RNA is filed under the name uncultured prokaryote. Its description in RNAcentral is "partial 16S ribosomal RNA". It matches the Rfam family "Bacterial small subunit ribosomal RNA", at positions 524 to 776 of the family's 1533-position model. The record is from RNAcentral.
UACGGAGGGGGCUAGCGUUGCUCGGAAUUACUGGGCGUAAAGCGCACGUAGGCGGCGAUGAUAGUCAGAUGUGAAAGGCCUGGGCUCAACCCGGGAACUGCAUUUGAUACUGCAUUGCUAGAGUCCGAGAGAGGGUGGUGGAAUUCCCAGUGUAGAGGUGAAAUUCGUAGAUAUUGGGAAGAACACCAGUGGCGAAGGCGGCCACCUGGCUCGGUACUGACGCUGAGGUGCGAAAGCGUGGGGAGCGAACAGG